GCUCCAGUGGCGCAAUUGGUCAGCGCACGGUACUUAUAAUGCCCAGGUUGUGAGUUUGAGCCUCACCUGGAGCA
Hyla sarda is the source of this 74-nucleotide non-coding RNA. The record is from the annotation of a RefSeq genome assembly. Lineage: Eukaryota; Metazoa; Chordata; Amphibia; Anura; Hylidae.